Myotis davidii is the source of this 72-nucleotide non-coding RNA. The record is from Rfam. Lineage: Eukaryota; Metazoa; Chordata; Mammalia; Chiroptera; Vespertilionidae.
AGGGGUAUUGCUCAAGGGUAGAGCAUUUGACUGCAGAUCAAGAGGUCCCUGGUUCAAAUCCAGGUGCCUCCA